This 654-nucleotide long non-coding RNA is filed under the name Gossypium raimondii (Peruvian cotton). RNAcentral describes it as "long non-coding RNA (GRAI_LNC010486)". The record is from RNAcentral. Lineage: Eukaryota; Viridiplantae; Streptophyta; Magnoliopsida; Malvales; Malvaceae.
GGAUACAUGUCAUGGUUUAGGAUCUAUGGCAAGCUAUAUUUGCUAUCAGAAGAGCAAAGGCGUCGGCAAAUCCAUGUCGAAAGGAAAUGACGGGGCCCUUUAAAUCAAAGAAGAAGGGAUGACGGCACGGGCCCAUCAACAGCGCCCACACAAUCACCAGGCCCAACACCUCAAGCGACGACACCUACACCACAGCCCCUUCAGAUUAUGCCAGGUGCAUAUCCUAGCCCUUAUAUGUAUCCUAACCCUUAUAUGUUUCCUUUUCCCAAUCCUAUGCCACGUUGGAAUGCAUGGCCCGGUAGAUCUCCUUUCUCGAUGACUCUGACUCAACCGAUGGUAUAUAGGCCAUCGUCGUAGGAGGGAUCGCACGAGACACUGUCGGGGAGCUCAUCUCAUUACCAAUCCCCAUCGCCUUAUGGGAUUCAAACACCUUCGCCGUGGGUGAUGCAAACACCUCCGUAUUCUUUAUUCUAUUAAGGUGGUUCAUCCUCCCAACACCCACAACCAAAACAGCCACAACCCCCACCGGAGCAACCACAACCCCCGUCGGAAGCUGAACCAAGGAGGAAUCUAGUGCGUAACCGUCGACCGCUCCCAUGUGACACUAAUUCCGACCGGCACAUACAUUGAUUUUUUUAAUAUAUUUGUACAAAC